GGAACAAUACUCAAGAGGCUGAAGAGGCACGCUUGGAAAGCGUGUAGGGUGUAAUAGCCGCGAGGGUUCAAAUCCCUCUUGUUCCGCCA
Molecule: transfer RNA, 89 nt
Filed under: Acholeplasma laidlawii
Lineage: Bacteria; Bacillati; Mycoplasmatota; Mollicutes; Acholeplasmatales; Acholeplasmataceae
Also listed under: 1 other name
Description: tRNA-Ser(gga)
Rfam family: tRNA
About the family: Transfer RNA (tRNA) molecules are approximately 80 nucleotides in length. Their secondary structure includes four short double-helical elements and three loops (D, anti-codon, and T loops).
Source: RNAcentral